Molecule: long non-coding RNA, 3362 nt
Organism: Varanus komodoensis (Komodo dragon)
Lineage: Eukaryota; Metazoa; Chordata; Lepidosauria; Squamata; Varanidae
Exons: 3
Source: RefSeq, a predicted model, not a curated record
UUAUGGAUUGAAAUUGUGAUAGGCCUUGCUUAAUGUUUGGCGGAAACUUUAGGACUAUUUUUAAUCGGCAUGAGUUCACGCGGCCGCCUGGUGCCUCCUACGGCAAUCGUUGAAUAAUGUGGUGGUUGCUACCAAACAUACAUUUUCUGCCCAUAAUGUGAGAUAAAAUUGGAGGAACGCUUAGUUCUUGCUCGCGUGCUGGAAGCCACUUUUGGCUGAAAAGUGGUUAUACGUAUAAGACUUUAAAUAAAAUUAAGCUUAGUCUGUGCAGAAGACAUCUUCAUGCCCUGUGUAAUUGGGUGAGUCUGAUGGAUAGGUUUUUAAGAGCAGUGCCCACUGAACUCCAGAACAAUUGCCCAAGUAAACACACAGCAGUGAGCUCUGUCGAAGGAGGCAAAUUUGGAGCAGUGCCUAAUUCAAGUGAUGCUGCCACAUAAGCUUCUCUAAGGAUAAGCAAUCCAUGUAUGCCAAUUAUCUUAGUUCUCACCCUGAACAUAAAACUGAAAGGAGAUGACUACAACACAGUGACUUAUUUGGAGAUGCACCAGACAGCUUUCUCUGAAGAAAUGUUAGGAAGUGAACAGGCACAAUCCCUCAACACUGACUGGACAGCGCCAUCUUUAUGAAGCAGUAGAAUGCCCUGGUUAAGGCCCUGAAACUAGAAGAGACGUCUAUUUUUUUCAACAUAACUUCAGUGCCCAUGGGAAUGUAAGAGAUUGAAUCUAUACCCGCACAGUUGUUGCCACAAGCAGAACCUGUACAUCUUUCAGUCUCAGCACCUGCUGAAAGAAAAUAGAAAUUAAGUCUGCAGAGGAGGAUGCAAAAAGCGCACCUCUGCCCAAGCUGCGUCUGGCAGUCCCCAACAUUAUGUGCUGAUCCGGGAAAAGGUGGAGGGAGAGAAAAUUGCUCAAGAAUCAGGCUGGUUCCUUCCAUAGCAUGUCUCUGGAACAAAAGCAGCAAUGCUUGAAAUUUCCUGCCAGCUUCUGGGAAUGCCCUGGGAUACCCUAGGAAUGAAACUUCUCUGGCAAGAAGAAAGCCCGUUUCUAGAGUGUAUUUUCCUCUGUUGCCAGCUGGUGAGAGGACUUUACCUUCCUGAUGCUAUGAAAUAUGGAAUAUGCUGUGGCUACAAAGCCAAGAUUUGUUGUUGCUGUGGUGAAUAUGAACGGUGUCUCUGUGUGAGUGAUGUGCAGCUGAAUCCUGCAUUUUUGUGAACAGUUUGCAAAUGUGUGUGUGAGCACCAUGUGCAGUUCCCCACUCUAGCAGAUGUUGUGAUUUAGGUUUCCUCCCUUUGUACAUUCGGUGGCACAGACCUUUCUUGCAAAAUGUUCUUUAUUGAUGAACGAGUUUUCCAGAAGCACAAACACCCAGACAGAAAGAAUCUCUGAGCAUGCAUAGAGCAAUUCAUUGGAUCCAAUCUAGUAUUUACUUUUAAAAAAGUAAACUCCUUAUGAGUAUGAGCUGAUAUCACAUUAUGGGGCUGAGUGCUAUACCCACCUCAUCUAUCUCUGAGAAACUCCCUUGUUCCAAGGCACCUUCUGCUAACUGUAUAUCUUGGUCAUUCUCAGGGGCCGCCUGCACACCUGGGGAGUCUGGCCUUGAGAUGAGCAUCUGCAUGUCUCUCAGUGUCUGGAAUUGGCCCACAUUCCAAGGCCCCCUCUAGGUCUUCCUCCACCAAAUCCCAAUCAGCAGGCCUUGGGAAUGUGCACCAAGAGCAACUGCCUUUCUCACUCCCAAAAGCAGACACGCUGGGGCUGAAAGAGUUGUGUGCCCCUGUUAUAAAGGGAACUGGCCAGCUUGGCAGUUGAAUUACGAUAUCCCUUUCGAUUACAGUGCAGCAAUGUUGAUUGUUUUCAAGAAUUAUUAUCAGCCAGGAAAGGAGCAUCAGAUGAGCAAGCUGAGAGUUGCAUCUGGUGCUGGUUGAGGAGGCCAUAGGCCAUGCAUGCACAUAUGUUUGCACACAUGGGAAGGGCUGCUUAGGGGUUGCUGCUCAGAAUAGCUUUCCGGCUGCCAUUAGCAGAAAGAAAGCAGCAAUCCUAGCAGUUUUGGAGUCACCGAGAAAGGCCAAAGCCCUCCUCCCUUCAAUGCGUUCACUGGGAUUGCUGUUCUGGAACUGCUGAUAGGGGCCUCUCCCCAAAACUCCGAUCAGCUGAGCUCUGGGGAAGAGUGCAGGAGGCAGCUAUAGGCUGCUGGACCAUACAAAAAGUGGAGAAGAGCCACAUGCAGGCUGUGCAGCCCUGCACUAGCUGGCGGGAGGUUUUCUGGACUAGGUUUAAGCUAUUUGGCUGGAUGGCACUUUGGAUUGUUGUAAGAUUAGCACUGGCAGCAAAGGCUAGGGUAAAUUUUUGUUUUAGACUCUUGAUUUUGAUUUUACUUCUUAUAUUAAGUUGAGAUUUUUCACUGUAAUAUUGACUUUAUAUUCAUUUUAUGAAUCAUUGGUUUUGUCUUAUUUGAAUUCUCUGAAAUGUUUUAUCACAAUUUUAUUUCCAAGGUGUUGCUGAUCUUUGUUCAUUGAGGGUUACUUUGAGCUGUUUUGAGCACUGUCCACUGUGGAAAAGCAGCAUAUAAUUUCUUUUAAAAAAUCUUAACCAACAGGCUGAUGGGCAGACUAAAAUUAAGGCUAUGGUUGAGGGCAGUUGACCCUUUAGAUACUGAAAAUAUUAUUUGAAAGGCAGAGGGAAAGAACCAAUAUCCAGGAUGACAGCAUUUCAGUAGGACAGAAGUAUGCCAGAAGGUUACAUUCUGCUUCCCAUAUGUUACCCUUUCUGCUUAACAAGUAUGCAAUAUAACAUUAAUGUAAACAAGCCUGAUAGCUAGCCUGAAUCCCAAACUUUUUGGUAGUACAGUAAUACCUCAGUUCAAGAACGUUCCUGUUCUCAUACAAUUCGGUUCACGAACAGAAAGUUCGGCAAAAUUAUGCUUCCAUUCGCAAACUCCACAUCAGGUGAGGAACACAAUCACGGCCAUCUUCCCUGCACCCCAACCCUGUGUCAGAGCGUGUUUGAGUGGGGAAGAUGGCUGCAUUCAUGUUCGUGUGGGGAAGAUGGCCGCCAUCGUGUUUGUGCGAGGAAGAUGGCCAUGUUCGUGUUCAUAUGAACAUGGCCAUCUUCCCCACUCUGACACGUGGUCACGGCUUCCUCUAGUCGAGAUCGCGGUCGCAGACUCCCUCCAAACAAUACCCUCCUCCCCACCGACCUUCCUGUCCUCCAUGCCAGAAGUCGGCUCACGCAAGGUUAAUGUUCUCUCUCUUCAUACUGUAUGGUACUUUGUUUAAUAAUUUUGUGUUAAAAAAAUUACAUAUGGUUCAGAACAGAGUAACCUUAUUUACAUUGAACCUUAUGGGGAAAUUUGACUUGGUUCGCAAC